AUACAGAGGGUGCGAGCGUUAAUCGGAAUUACUGGGCGUAAAGGGUGCGUAGGUGGUUUAUUAAGUUGACUGUGAAAGCCCCGGGCUUAACCUGGGAGGGUCAGUUGAUACUGGUAGACUAGAGUACAGUAGAGGGUAGUGGAAUUUCCAGUGUAGCGGUGAAAUGCGUAGAUAUUGGAAGGAACACCAGUGGCGAAGGCGGCUACCUGGACUGAUACUGACACUGAGGCACGAAAGCGUGGGGAGCAAACAGGAUUAGAAACCCCAGUAGUCC
Molecule: ribosomal RNA, 274 nt
Filed under: uncultured bacterium
Lineage: Bacteria
Description: partial 16S ribosomal RNA
Rfam family: Bacterial small subunit ribosomal RNA
Source: RNAcentral